CCUACGGGAGGCAGCAGUGGGGAAUAUUGCACAAUGGGGGAAACCCUGAUGCAGCAACGCCGCGUGAGUGAUGACGGCCUUCGGGUUUUAAAGCUCUGUCUUUAGGGACGUUAAUGACGGUACCUGUGGAUGAAGCCACGGCUAAUUACGUGCCAGCAGCCGCGGUAAUACGUAGGCGGCGAGCGUUAUCCGGAUUUACUGGGCGUAAAGGGAGCGUAGGCGGAUUUUUAAGUGAGAUGUGAAAUACUCGGGCUCAACUUGAGUGCUGCAUUUUAAACUGGAAGUCUUGAGUGCAGGAGAGGAGAAUGGAAUUCCUGGUGUAGCGGUGAAAUGCGUAGAGAUUAGGAAGAACACCGAUGGCGAAGGCGAUUCUCUGGACUGUAACUGACGCUGAGGCUCGAAAGCGUGGGGAGCAAACAGGAUUAGAUACCCUAGUAGUC
Molecule: ribosomal RNA, 440 nt
Filed under: uncultured bacterium
Lineage: Bacteria
Description: partial 16S ribosomal RNA
Rfam family: Bacterial small subunit ribosomal RNA
Source: RNAcentral